GAUGAACGCUAGCGGCAGGCUUAACACAUGCAAGUCGAGGGGUAUUGGUUUUCGGACCAAGAGACCGGCGCACGGGUGCGUAACGCGUAUGCAAUCUACCUUUUGCAGAGGGAUAGCCCCAGAGAAAUUUGGAUUAAUACCUCAUAGUAUAGUACUUUGGCAUCAAGGAACUAUUAAAGUCACAACGGCAAAAGAUGAGCAUGCGUCCAUUAGCUAGUUGGUAAGGUAACGGCUUACCAAGGCUACGAUGGGUAGGGGUCCUGAGAGGGAGAUCCCCACACUGGUACUGAGACACGGACCAGACUCCUACGGGAGGCAGCAGUGAGGAAUAUUGGACAAUGGGCGCAAGCCUGAUCCAGCCAUGCCGCGUGCAGGAUGACGGUCCUAUGGAUUGUAAACUGCUUUAUACAGAAGAANACUCCGACGUGUCGGAGCUUGACGGUACUGUAAGAAUAAGGAUCGGCUAAC
RNAcentral lists this ribosomal RNA (468 nucleotides) under uncultured bacterium. RNAcentral describes it as "bacterial SSU rRNA". It matches the Rfam family "Bacterial small subunit ribosomal RNA", at positions 28 to 501 of the family's 1533-position model. The record is from RNAcentral.